RNAcentral lists this ribosomal RNA (162 nucleotides) under Tsuga sieboldii. Its description in RNAcentral is "5.8S ribosomal RNA". It matches the Rfam family "5.8S ribosomal RNA". From Rfam's summary of the family: 5.8S ribosomal RNA (5.8S rRNA) is a component of the large subunit of the eukaryotic ribosome. It is transcribed by RNA polymerase I as part of the 45S precursor that also contains 18S and 28S rRNA. Lineage: Eukaryota; Viridiplantae; Streptophyta; Pinopsida; Pinales; Pinaceae. The record is from RNAcentral.
GAAAUGACUCUCGGCAACGGAUAUCUAGGCUCUCGUUACGAUGAAGAACGUAGCGAAAUGCGAUACUUAGUGUGAAUUGCAGAAUCCCGUGAAUCAUCAAGUCUUUGAACGCGAUUUGCGCCCGAGGCCUUGGCUGAGGGCACGUUUGUCUGGGCGUCGCAU